UUUUGAAAAGUUCCUGUUCCCAUUACCUCGGUGGCCAUGAUGAGUGCUCAGCCCAUCUUCCAGAUGCUAGAGCCACAGAUUGCAGUUGCCAAUACCUAUGCCUGUAAAGGGCUGGACAGAAUUGAGGAGAGACUGCCUAUCCUGAAUCAGCCAUCAACUCAGGUUGUUGCCAAUGCCAAAGGUGCAGUGACUGGGGCGAAGGAUUCCGUGGCCAGCACAAUCACAGGGGUGAUGGAUAAGACCAAAGGAGCAGUGACUGGCAGUGUGGAGAAGACCAAGUCUGUUGUCAAUGGCAGCAUCAACACGGUCUUGGGAAGUCGGGUGAUGCAGCUUGUGAACCUUGGGGUAGAAAAUGUGCUCACCAAAUCAGAGCUUCUGGUAGACCAGUACCUCCCUCUCACUGAAGAAGAGCUAGAAAAAGAGGCAAAAAAAGUUGAAGGAUUUGAUGUAGUUCAGAAGCCAAGUUACUACGUUAGACUAGGAUCCCUGUCUACCAAGCUGCACUCACGUGCCUACCUGCAGGCUCUCAGCAGGGUUAAAGAAGCUAAGGAAAAAAGUCAGGAGACUAUUUCCCAGCUCCAUUCUACUGUUCACCUGACUGAAUUUGCCAGAUAAAAUGUGCAUAGUGCCAACCAGAAAAUUCAGGAUGCUCAGGACAAGCUCUCUUUCUCAUGGGUGGAGUGGAAGAGAAGCCUUGGGCAUGAUGACACCGACGAAUCCCACUGUACAGAGCAAAUUGAAUCACGUACUCUUGCUAUUGCCCGAAACCUGACUCAGCAGCUCCAGACCACAUGCCACACCCUCCUGUCCAGCAUCCAAGGGUUACCACAGAACAUCCAAGAUCAAGCCAACCACUUGGGGGUGAUGGCAGGCGACAUCUACUCAGUGUUCCACAAUGCCACCUCCUUUAAGGAAGUGUCUGACAGCCUCCUCACAUCUUCAAGGGGCAGCUGCAGAAAAUGAAGGAAUUCUUAGAAGAUGUGAUGGAUUAUCUUGUUAACAACACACCCCUCAACUGGCUGGUAGGUCCCUUUUAUCCUCAGCUGACUGAGUCUCAGAAUGCUCAGAACCAAGGUGCAGAGAUGGACAAGACCAGCCAGGAAGCCCAGCUAAUGGGUUGUCUGAGCAAAAACAACCCAUUAAAUCUGCCCUUGUCACCAGUGUAUGAUGCAACCAGCCAGAUGGCACCUUGUGUUACAUGGGAAUCAACCUGCUAGGUGACUCUAAAUGGGGAAGUAGCUAGCUAGGAAAAAAGGCCCUCAGUUGUAGUUAUUUCCAGAUGAAUUGAGAGAAUUAGCAGAUGGAUUCUGUUUACUUGGCAGAAAGAAUGAUAGGCUUGUCAGAGCCUAGCCAGAACUCGCAAAAAAUUCAAGUGCACUUAUGGUCUCAUUUUGUGGUCAUUGUACUGCCACUGUUAACUUUUUGCAUCGAAUAAAAACACCUUCAUGUGGGCGGUUGUCUGCGUGGUAUGGUCUGAGCAGACCUCAUCUCUGGUUUAUCCUCAUGAUGCUUGGUUGUACAACUUGACUUGAGUUUCUUGUUUCUCCUAAAGGAAGACUAUCUUUGAAUUCAAUAAACUUCACUGAAGAAUAGA
Nycticebus coucang (slow loris) is the source of this 1594-nucleotide RNA transcript. It is a transcript of the gene named perilipin-2-like, with no coding region annotated. NCBI's taxonomy places the organism in Eukaryota, Metazoa, Chordata, Mammalia, Primates, Lorisidae. The transcript has a single exon. The record is from RefSeq and is a predicted model, not a curated record.